CCUACGGGCGGCAGCAGUGAGGAAUAUUGGUCAAUGGACGAGAGUCUGAACCAGCCAAGUAGCGUGAAGGAUGACUGCCCUAUGGGUUGUAAACUUCUUUUAUAUGGGAAUAAAAUGUUCCACGUGUGGGAUUUUGUAUGUACCAUAUGAAUAAGGAUCGGCUAACUCCGUGCCAGCAGCCGCGGUAAUACGGAGGAUCCGAGCGUUAUCCGGAUUUAUUGGGUUUAAAGGGAGCGUAGGUGGAUUGUUAAGUCAGUUGUGAAAGUUUGCGGCUCAACCGUAAAAUUGCAGUUGAAACUGGCAGUCUUGAGUACAGUAGAGGUGGGCGGAAUUCGUGGUGUAGCGGUGAAAUGAUUAGAUAUCACGAAGAACUCCGAUUGCGAAGGCAGUUCACUGGACUGCAACUGACACUGAGGCUCGAAAGUGUGGGUAUCAAACAGGAUUAGAUACCCCUGUAGUC
RNAcentral lists this ribosomal RNA (460 nucleotides) under uncultured bacterium. RNAcentral's name for it is "partial 16S ribosomal RNA". It matches the Rfam family "Bacterial small subunit ribosomal RNA", at positions 338 to 795 of the family's 1533-position model. The record is from RNAcentral.